GAUUUUGGAUCCGACUGAGUGGCGAACUGGUGAGUAACACGUGGGUAACCUGCCCAGAAGAAGGGGAUAACACCUGGAAACAGAUGCUAAUACCGUAUAACAACAAGAACCACAUGGUUCUUGUUUGAAAGCUGGCCUUUGUGCUAGUGCUUCUGGAUGGACCCGCGGCGUAUUAGCUAGUUGGUGAGAUAAUAGCUCACCAAGGCAAUGAUACGUAGCAGACCUGAGAGGGUAAUCUGCCACAAUGGGACUGAGACACGGCCCAUACUCCUACGGGAGGCAGCAGUAGGGAAUCUUCCACAAUGGACGAAAGUCUGAUGGAGCAACGCCGCGUGAGUGAAGAAGGGUUUCGGCUCGUAAAACUCUGUUGUUAGAGAAGAACAGCCGUGAGAGCAACUGCUCACGGUAUGACGGUAUCUAACCAGAAAGUCACGGCUAACUACGUGCCAGCAGCCGCGGUAAUACGUAGGUGGCAAACGUUGUCCGGAUUUAUUGGGCGUAAAGGGAGCGCAGGCGGUUUAUUAAGUCUGAUGUGAAAGCCUUCGGCUUAACCGGAGAAGUGCAUCGGAAACUGAUAAACUUGAGUGCAGAAAAGGAUAGUGGAACUUCAUGUGUAGCGGUGAAAUGCGUAGAUAUAUGAAGGAACACCAGUGGCGAAGGCGGCUAUCUGGUCUGUAACUGACGCUGAGGCUCGAAAGCAUGGGUAGCAAACAGGAUUAGAUACCCUGGUAGUCCAUGCCGUAAACGAUGAAUGCUAGGUGUUGGAAGGUUUCCGCCUUUCAGUGCCGCAGCUAACGCAUUAAGCAUUCCGCCUGGGGAGUACGACCGCAAGGUUGAAACUCAAAGGAAUUGACGGGGACCCGCACAAGCGGUGGAG
Molecule: ribosomal RNA, 877 nt
Filed under: Fructilactobacillus sanfranciscensis
Lineage: Bacteria; Bacillati; Bacillota; Bacilli; Lactobacillales; Lactobacillaceae
Description: bacterial SSU rRNA
Rfam family: Bacterial small subunit ribosomal RNA
Source: RNAcentral